RNAcentral lists this ribosomal RNA (200 nucleotides) under uncultured bacterium. RNAcentral's name for it is "partial 16S ribosomal RNA". It matches the Rfam family "Bacterial small subunit ribosomal RNA", at positions 8 to 210 of the family's 1533-position model. The record is from RNAcentral.
AGAGUUUGAUCCUGGCUCAGAACGAACGCUGGCGGCACGUUUUAAGCAUGCAAGUCGGACGGCAGCAGGGGUAACUCUGUGAGAGUGGCGAACGGGUGAGUAACACGUAGGUGAUCUGCCUUGAGGCUGGGGAUAGCCUGUGGAAACACAGGGUAAUACCGAAUGAGCUGGACUGGCUUUGGCUGGUCUAGGAAAGGUGC